AUUGAACGCUGGCGGCAGGCCUAACACAUGCAAGUCGAACGGUAACAGGGAUCAGCUUGCUGAUUCGCUGACGAGUGGCGGACGGGUGAGUAAUGUCUGGGAAACUGCCUGAUGGAGGGGGAUAACUACUGGAAACGGUAGCUAAUACCGCAUAACGUCGCAAGACCAAAGAGGGGGACGUUCGGGCCUCUUGCCAUCGGAUGUGCCCAGAUGGGAUCAGCUAGUAGGUGGGGUAACGGCUCACCUAGGCGACGAUCCCUAGCUGGUCUGAGAGGAUGACCAGCCACACUGGAACUGAGACACGGUCCAGACUCCUACGGGAGGCAGCAGUGGGGAAUAUUGCACAAUGGGCGCAAGCCUGAUGCAGCCAUGCCGCGUGUAUGAAGAAGGCCUUCGGGUUGUAAAGUACUUUCAGCGGGGAGGAAGGGAGUAAAGUUAAUACCUUUGCUCAUUGACGUUACCCGCAGAAGAAGCACCGGCUAACUCCGUG
This 490-nucleotide ribosomal RNA is filed under the name uncultured bacterium. Its description in RNAcentral is "partial 16S ribosomal RNA". It matches the Rfam family "Bacterial small subunit ribosomal RNA", at positions 30 to 507 of the family's 1533-position model. The record is from RNAcentral.